This 385-nucleotide ribosomal RNA is filed under the name uncultured bacterium. RNAcentral's name for it is "bacterial SSU rRNA". It matches the Rfam family "Bacterial small subunit ribosomal RNA", at positions 29 to 417 of the family's 1533-position model. The record is from RNAcentral.
AUUGAACGCUGGCGGCAUGCCUUACACAUGCAAGUCGAACGGUAACGCGGGGCAACCUGGCGACGAGUGGCGAACGGGUGAGUAAUACAUCGGAACGUGCCCAGUAGUGGGGGAUAGCCCGGCGAAAGCCGGAUUAAUACCGCAUACGACCUACGGGUGAAAGCGGGGGAUCGCAAGACCUCGCGCUAUUGGAGCGGCCGAUGUCAGAUUAGGUAGUUGGUGGGGUAAAGGCCUACCAAGCCGACGAUCUGUAGCUGGUCUGAGAGGACGACCAGCCACACUGGGACUGAGACACGGCCCAGACUCCUACGGGAGGCAGCAGUGGGGAAUUUUGGACAAUGGGCGCAAGCCUGAUCCAGCCAUGCCGCGUGCGGGAAGAAGGCCU